Molecule: long non-coding RNA, 615 nt
Organism: Spinacia oleracea (spinach)
Lineage: Eukaryota; Viridiplantae; Streptophyta; Magnoliopsida; Caryophyllales; Amaranthaceae
Exons: 2
Source: RefSeq, a predicted model, not a curated record
UGUGUUUCUAAAUUAAGUUCACACCAGCCCAUAUCAACCGUACAUCUUUUCAUCCCCUACAUAAACUCCCUAUCUCUCCCUCCUAAUCUCACGCACCAAUUCUUCAAUAUAUUUCAAAGAACCAAAGAAAAACCAAAUUGUAUCGAAUUAAGUAAUUAUAAUGGCAAAAUUCAGCACCCUCUUUAUUAUAACUCUCCUUAUUUGUUCCAUCACUCUUACACAUGGAGCUCGUCUGGCGCCAGAAUCUCAGCCCCCGGAAACACAACAACUGAAGGCUGAUAUAUCUGAUGCCUGUAAUCCUGGAGAACUGGAAUCGGACUGCUUGGUGGGGAAGGGACCAACGACGAGUCUAACAUCUUUAUAUUAGGUGGACUGAAAACCAAUAUAUGGAGUACUAAUUUUCCUCAAAAAAUUACAAUAAGCAUAAUAUAAAAUAGAUUUAUAUUUUGUUCUCAAACGAAAGUUAUGUUUAUAUUUUGAGACAGGGUCAAAACUUUCUCCAUCACUUAGUCACAUAACUAAGUUAAAAAUGUAUCAAAUAGUUCAUUAUUGCAACCAUAUUAUAGCACUUAUGCGGGCACGAUAUAUAAAAUGUUAAUAUCAAUUUAUGCACUA